RNAcentral lists this long non-coding RNA (1752 nucleotides) under Sorghum bicolor (sorghum). RNAcentral's name for it is "long non-coding RNA (SBIC_LNC005838)". The record is from RNAcentral. Lineage: Eukaryota; Viridiplantae; Streptophyta; Magnoliopsida; Poales; Poaceae.
UCCCAGAUUUGCCUGGUGUUUUCCUAUAAAACACCAGGCAAAGGCUAUAUAUAUAAUUUUUUUAUUUUAUUUCUGUGUUCACAAACAAAUCACAUACAAUAUACAUGACACAUAUUUGACAUCACAAACACAAUAUGGCACAUAUAUAUCACAUCAACCUAAUAUGUUCAUCGAACAUCGACAUGUCCAAACAUAACAUGUCCAUCAAACGAAACAUAUCUCACACAAGCAGAAUAUGUCCAAUAUACAUGUCCAUCAAGCGGCGAAAAGAGAAAGCAAACUAGAGGUUGACGGGAAACUAGUCGUCUGGUGAAGCAAUUUGCCUGGCAUGGCCUGACGAAGGCAUAGAUCGGUCGCCUGCUUGCAGUUGAGGUGGGUUAUUCGAACCCACGGUUGACUGAGACUGCAUAAAGGAGAAGAGGUUGCAUGUGUUAGAGUAGUCAUAUACUGAAAGCACUUGUCGAAGCCAACUUGGUUCAUAUGUACUCACAGGACUCGCAUGAGGACUGAACAAAGCCCCCCCCCCCCAUUUUGACUCUGGAGGAACGCCUUAAUUUCGGCCAGCUGCUUGGCAUGGUUUGCUACCUCCUCAUUUAGCCUCUUGUUCUCGGCCUGCAACAUUUGAAUCGAAUGUAUCAGUAAUGCAAAGGCAACUAAGCUAUGUCAAGAUCAAUGUACGACGAGUGCCACGGGACUAACCUCGAGUGCCACAAUCUUCUGCUGUGAAGGGGACGGCCGUUGGCGUAUGGCCGGGCCUCCGCUCGGGGUUUCAGCUCGGAUCUGGGAGAGGGAGGGAACCUGGGUGGAAUCGAGAACGCCAUCGUCAAGCCAGUACCGCCCAUGCUUCUUGCCUUGUCCAACUACUACUGGUGCUGCAGACAACAAACACACAAAACUACAACAAGCCGGAUGGGUUGGGGCUUCUGAAAUUUAUCUCGGCCAACAAAUGCACACACCCGACAGCGCCAAAGCAACGGCAAGGCAGGAAGCCGAGCUGCGCGGUCAGUGCUUAAAAUCUAUUAUUCAUCUUCACAUAUCAACAAACUUGGUAGAAAACCAUAAUCCUAUUUUAUUUCUUCAUGCCUCAACUUUCUAAAAACAUAUCAACAAAUUUAUUCAAUUAUUGGCUCACAGUCUCAUAGAGUCACAGAUCUGGGACAAAAUCAAAUCCCUAAACCAUAAAGCCAUAGCCAUCUGGGAGAGAUCUGGGACAAAAUCAAAUCCCUAAACCAUAAAGCCAUAGCCAUCUGGGAGAAAAAAAAUUUGAACUCACUAAUUCCAAUCGGAGAUGCUGGACGUGGAACUGGGCGACUGCGCCAUGGGCCGUGGCCGCUGUCCGCUGGCGCCUGGCGCCUGGCGGACUGCCGAGGCCCGCCCGACUGCUUGAGUCGAGUGCCGGCCGUCCGCCGUCGGGGGUCGAGCGAGCGGACACGCCUGGAGCACACGCCGUCGAAAUCUCCACGCCGUCGGGGGUCUGCUCGAGAAGCUGUGUGCCUGUGCCCUAUGCGCGUGCGGGAGUGGAAGGCAGGGCGAGACCACAGCGAGAUCUGGGCGAGUCCAGACCGCGGCGGCCGGCGGCUCCUCCUCGCGCAGUCGCCCUCGCAAGUCGCGACCUCGCGCGGUCCUCUCCUAGUCGCGUCGCGAGUGACGGGAUGACGGAGCCGGAGGAAGCGAACGGAAGCGUUGCGAGUCACGGGAUAACGGAUCCGGAGCCAAGUUUGUGUGGGCCAAGUACUAAAAGUUUUUUGCGGU